Molecule: ribosomal RNA, 468 nt
Filed under: uncultured bacterium
Lineage: Bacteria
Description: partial 16S ribosomal RNA
Rfam family: Bacterial small subunit ribosomal RNA
Source: RNAcentral
GACGAACGCUGGCGGCGUGCUUAACACAUGCAAGUCGAACGGAAAGGCCCUGCUUUUGUGGGGUGCUCGAGUGGCGAACGGGUGAGUAACACGUGAGUAACCUGCCCUUGACUUUGGGAUAACUUCAGGAAACUGGGGCUAAUACCGGCUAGGAGCUCCUGCUGCAUGGUGGGGGUUGGAAAGUUUCGGCGGUUGGGGAUGGACUCGCGGCUUAUCAGCUUGUUGGUGGGGUAGUGGCUUACCAAGGCGUUGACGGGUAGCCGGCCUGCGAGGGUGACCGGCCACAUUGGGACUGAGAUACGGCCCAGACUGCUACGGGAGGCAGCAGUGGGGAAUAUUGCACAAUGGGCGGAAGCCUGAUGCAGCAACGCCGCGUGCGGGAUGACGGCCUUCGGGUUGUAAACCGCUUUCGCCUGUGACGAAGCGUGAGUGACGGUAAUGGGUAAAGAAGCACCGGCUAACUACGUG